AAAGCGAGCGGCGGAUGGGUGAGUAACACGUGGGGAACCUGCCCCUAAGUCUGGGAUACCAUUUGGAAACAGGUGCUAAUACCGGAUAAUAAAGCAGAUCGCAUGAUCAGCUUUUGAAAGGCGGCGUAAGCUGUCGCUAAGGGAUGGCCCCGCGGUGCAUUAGCUAGUUGGUAAGGUAACGGCUUACCAAGGUGACGAUGCAUAGCCGAGUUGAGAGACUGAUCGGCCACAUUGGGACUGAGACACGGCCCAAACUCCUACGGGAGGCAGCAGUAGGGAAUCUUCCACAAUGGACGCAAGUCUGAUGGAGCAACGCCGCGUGAGUGAAGAAGGUUUUCGGAUCGUAAAGCUCUGUUGUUGGUGAAGAAGGAUAGAGGUAGUAACUGGCCUUUAUUUGACGGUAAUCAACCAGAAAGUCACGGCUAACUACGUGCCAGCAGCCGCGGUAAUACGUAGGUGGCAAGCGUUGUCCGGAUUUAUUGGGCGUAAAGCGAGCGCAGGCGGAAAAAUAAGUCUAAUGUGAAAGCCCUCGGCUUAACCGAGGAACUGCAUCGGAAACUGUUUUUCUUGAGUGCAGAAGAGGAGAGUGGAACUCCAUGUGUAGCGGUGGAAUGCGUAGAUAUAUGGAAGAACACCAGUGGCGAAGGCGGCUCUCUGGUCUGCAACUGACGCUGAGGCUCGAAAGCAUGGGUAGCGAACAGGAUUAGAUACCCUGGUAGUCCAUGCCGUAAACGAUGAGUGCUAAGUGUUGGGAGGUUUCCGCCUCUCAGUGCUGCAGCUAACGCAUUAAGCACUCCGCCUGGGGAGUACGACCGCAAGGUUGAAACUCAAAGGAAUUGACGGGGGCCCGCACAAGCGGGUGGAGCAUGUGG
RNAcentral lists this ribosomal RNA (872 nucleotides) under uncultured bacterium. RNAcentral describes it as "bacterial SSU rRNA". It matches the Rfam family "Bacterial small subunit ribosomal RNA", at positions 88 to 944 of the family's 1533-position model. The record is from RNAcentral.